GAUGAACGCUAGCGGCAGGCCUAAUACAUGCAAGUCGAACGGUAGAUCGGGUAGCAAUACUUGAUUGAGAGUGACGUAAGGGUGCGUAACACGUAUGCAAUCUACCCUCAACAGGAGUAUAGCUCGGGGAAACUCGGAUUAACACUCCAUAACAUUACGAUGUGGCAUCACAUUGUGAUUAAAACUCCGGUGGUUGAGGAUGAGCAUGCGUCUGAUUAGUUAGUUGGAGGUGUAACGGACCCCCAAGACGAUGAUCAGUAGGGGAACUGAGGGGUUGAUCCCCCACACUGGCACUGAGAUACGGGCCAGACUCCUACGGGAGGCAGCAGUAGGGAAUAUUGGUCAAUGGGUGAGAGCCUGAACCAGCCAUGCCGCGUGCAGGAAGACGGCCUUCUGGGUUGUAAACUGCUUUUAUCUGGGGAUAAAAAGCCCAUGCGUGGGACAUUGAAGGUACCAGAUGAAUAAGCACCGGCUAACUACGUG
RNAcentral lists this ribosomal RNA (483 nucleotides) under uncultured bacterium. Its description in RNAcentral is "bacterial SSU rRNA". It matches the Rfam family "Bacterial small subunit ribosomal RNA", at positions 28 to 507 of the family's 1533-position model. The record is from RNAcentral.